Molecule: small RNA, 29 nt
Filed under: Bombyx mori (domestic silkworm)
Lineage: Eukaryota; Metazoa; Arthropoda; Insecta; Lepidoptera; Bombycidae
Description: ovarian small RNA-34802
Source: RNAcentral
UGGCCCUUCAGAUGGGGUUAAGCAGAACC